GACGUAGGGCGCGAGCGUUGUCCGGAUUUAUUGGGCGUAAAGAGCUCGUAGGCGGCUCAUUGCGUCAACCGUGAAAACCAGCAGCUCAACUGUUGGCUUGCGGUUGAUACGGGUGGGCUGGAGUUCGGUAGGGGAGACUGGAAUUCCUGGUGUAGCGGUGAAAUGCGCAGAUAUCAGGAGGAACACCGAUGGCGAAGGCAGGUCACUGGGCCGCAACUGACGCUGAGGAGCGAAAGCAUGGGGAGCGAACAGG
Molecule: ribosomal RNA, 253 nt
Filed under: uncultured bacterium
Lineage: Bacteria
Description: partial 16S ribosomal RNA
Rfam family: Bacterial small subunit ribosomal RNA
Source: RNAcentral